CGUCGAGUGGCGGACGGGUGAGUAAUACUUAGGAAUCUACCCAUUAGUGGGGGACAACUCGAGGAAACUCGAGCUAAUACCGCAUACGCCCUACGGGGGAAAGCGGAGGACCUUUCGGGGCUUCGCGCUAAUGGAUGAGCCUAAGUCGGAUUAGCUUGUUGGUGAGGUAAAGGCUCACCAAGGCGACGGUCCGUAGCUGGUCUGAGAGGACGAUCAGCCACACUGGGACUGAGACACGGCCCAG
RNAcentral lists this ribosomal RNA (244 nucleotides) under uncultured bacterium. RNAcentral's name for it is "partial 16S ribosomal RNA". It matches the Rfam family "Bacterial small subunit ribosomal RNA", at positions 89 to 334 of the family's 1533-position model. The record is from RNAcentral.